Molecule: unclassified non-coding RNA, 1800 nt
Filed under: Leishmania donovani
Lineage: Eukaryota; Euglenozoa; Kinetoplastea; Trypanosomatida; Trypanosomatidae
Description: gene:LdHU3.25.0220(CDS-product:hypothetical_prote in_conserved)
Source: RNAcentral
CUGCCGUGCGUUCUGGUCUCUCUGCUUGCACAUGGCGGCGCCGCACGGUGGACAAUCCUAACCAAACUUCGGCUCCACAUCUUUUGUGUGUCUUAUCGGCGGUCUGUGGGCACCGUUCGCGGCACGCAAAUACUUGUGCGCACCCCUGCCUUGCAGCGGAGAUGUGGCAUGUGCAGACGUGAAGUCACGUAAGGUGUCUUCUUGAAGCUCCACUAUCCCAUUUAACGCAACGCGGCAUCCUUCAUAGAGUCAAAGGGAAGGCGAGGCUCCUCCUUCGACGACACCAGCUGCUCCUUUUAUUCCUCCACAGGUGCCGCUGGUGGUGUAUUACCGACAUAGAAACAGCAGGGACGCGCUGACGCUGCAGUGUUCUCUGCUUCCCUCUCUGUCUCAACCACACGGCCUCCGGCACAUGGCGGAUGCAGCGGGCACACUUCUCCUGUCGCUUGAGGUGGAGGCGGCAGCUGCCCGCAACGCCGAGUUGAGUCAAACGAUUGAAAUGCUGCAGGACGAGGUACUGCGACUCCGGCGCGCGAACGCGUCGCUCCUCGCUUGCGAUGCACGACAUUGUCCGAAAGUUUCUCGGCAACCGGCGGAGAAGCCUAGCGCGACGGCAGGCGAGUGCCGCGACGAGUCGUCUGCGGCUGCAGAUGCCCGAGAGGCGUUUGUCAUCCUGGACGACUUGCUUUUCGAAAUGGCUGAUAUUCGAUCCCGUAUUAUCCCGGACGAGCGCGUGGACUUGAGGCCACGGGCCUUUGACGCAGAAACCACGGUGGCCGCCCACGCCACGCGGUGCCUCGAGGAAGCACGCAAGUUGAAAGAAGCCCUCGUCGUUAAGCAGCAUAGUGUGGCGGUGCAGGUGUCAGAGCUUCGGCGCGCUCUCGGCGAGCAGGCCGAGGCCAACCAGAAGCAAACUGCGGCCGCUGCUUUGCAGUGCACCAUGCUGGAGCGCAAGUAUGCUGAGAUGAAGCGCAGGUACGACGAGGCAGUUUCGAGGCAAGAUGAGCUGCUGCUGAACCGUGUCAUUCAGUCCCCCACACAACCGUCGCCGCGCAGUUGACUGUCGUGCAGCUGUGGGGCCGUGAACACAGCAGUUUUUCUCGGCCGCCGUUGGCAAGUUGCGGGGCAUAAGCGAAAGGAGAGGUGGUGAAUAUGAAGCUCUUGCACGUGUGGAGUGACUGUUUUCAGUUCCCGCGUGUAUCGCUGCUGCGCGGGUGAGCGCCUUUGCGUGCGUGGUUGUCACGGCAUAGGCCGCUAAUUCACUGUUUGAUGUCCAACUGCGAGCAGCACGAGGAGUCCGUGUUGAUGAAUGCCAUUCCUUUCGCGAGUCUUUCGGGGUGGAGGGGGGGGGUGCCGUCACAAGGUGCGAGGAGGGGCUUUGUGGAUCUUGUCCCGGCAACAUCGAGGACAGAUUCGUGGGGGAGGGGGAGGGGCACUUCACGAGCGACUCUCGCUGCUCCUCCGGCCUGAUGGAUGCCACUCGUUAUGAUGCAAGGUGUCUCGAGUGACAUCGCCCCUCGGGACGCGUAUUGUUUUCUGUGUAGCCCGUUCCCCCCCCCCCCCCCCCCCGGGAGACGCUGGUGGCAAUAGCGGAUAGGCAUCAUGGAGGUGUUGAUGUCAUCACCUCAGCCCUGCAGCAUGAAGCACCCUCGCAGCUCCUUGGCUUUUCUGUGCAGCCCCUCCUUCCCUAGUCGUCGUACCCCUCCCCCUGUUUAUGCCUCUCACUGUGCGUCAUUUCUUUUGACCUUGUUGCUCCAUAUACUCCCCCCCCCUCCGAGUUGGUUCACCCUCCCUCGACAG